This 74-nucleotide transfer RNA is filed under the name Planctomycetota bacterium. Its description in RNAcentral is "tRNA-Arg". It matches the Rfam family "tRNA". Rfam says of the family: Transfer RNA (tRNA) molecules are approximately 80 nucleotides in length. Their secondary structure includes four short double-helical elements and three loops (D, anti-codon, and T loops). RNAcentral also lists the same sequence under 1 other name. The record is from RNAcentral. Lineage: Bacteria; Pseudomonadati; Planctomycetota.
GCGCCGGUAGCUCAGUUGGAUAGAGCAUCGGACUUCUAAUCCGACGGUCGGGGGUUCGAAUCCCUCCCGGCGCA